GAUGAACGCUGGCGGCGUGCCUAACACAUGCAAGUCGAACGGAGUCCAGCCUUUAAGACUUUCGGGUCCAAGAGGGGAAUACUGAGUGGCGGACGGGUGAGUAACACGUGGGCAACCUGGCUCAUAGAGGGGGAUAACAGAGAGAAAUUUCUGCUAUUACUGCAUAAGCACACACUGCCGCAUGGCAGAGGGUGAAAAGACAAUCGCUAUGAGCUGGACCCCCGUCUGAUUAGCCAGUUGGCAGGGUAAGAGCCUACCAAAGCGACGAUCAGUCGCCGAUCUGAGAGGAUGAACGGCCACAUUGGGACUGAGACACGGCCCAAACUCCUACGGGAGGCAGCAGUGGGGGAUAUUGCACAAUGGGGGGAACACUGAUGCAGCGACGCCGCGUGAGUAAAGAAGUAUUUCGGUAUGUAAAGCUCUAUAAACAGGGAAGAUAAUGACAGUACCUGAAUAAGAAGCCCCGACUAACUACGUG
This 478-nucleotide ribosomal RNA is filed under the name uncultured bacterium. Its description in RNAcentral is "partial 16S ribosomal RNA". It matches the Rfam family "Bacterial small subunit ribosomal RNA", at positions 28 to 507 of the family's 1533-position model. The record is from RNAcentral.